Molecule: ribosomal RNA, 680 nt
Filed under: uncultured Bacteroidales bacterium
Lineage: Bacteria; Pseudomonadati; Bacteroidota; Bacteroidia; Bacteroidales
Description: bacterial SSU rRNA
Rfam family: Bacterial small subunit ribosomal RNA
Source: RNAcentral
UAUCUAUGGUGGCGACCGGCGCACGGGUGCGUAACGCGUAUGCAACCUACCUUUAACAGGGGGAUAACACUGAGAAAUUGGUACUAAUACCCCAUAAUAUCAUAGAAGGCAUCUUUUAUGGUUGAAAAUUCCGAUGGUUAGAGAUGGGCAUGCGUUGUAUUAGCUAGUUGGUGGGGUAACGGCUCACCAAGGCGACGAUACAUAGGGGGACUGAGAGGUUAACCCCCCACACUGGUACUGAGACACGGACCAGACUCCUACGGGAGGCAGCAGUGAGGAAUAUUGGUCAAUGGACGCAAGUCUGAACCAGCCAUGCCGCGUGCAGGAUGACGGCUCUAUGAGUUGUAAACUGCUUUUGUACGAGGGUAAACGCAGAUACGUGUAUCUGUCUGAAAGUAUCGUACGAAUAAGGAUCGGCUAACUCCGUGCCAGCAGCCGCGGUAAUACGGAGGAUUCAAGCGUUAUCCGGAUUUAUUGGGUUUAAAGGGUGCGUAGGCGGUUUGAUAAGUUAGAGGUGAAAUUUCGGGGCUCAACCCUGAACGUGCCUCUAAUACUGUUGAGCUAGAGAGUAGUUGCGGUAUGCGGAAUGUAUGGUGUAGCGGUGAAAUGCUUAGAGAUCAUACAGAACACCGAUUGCGAAGGCAGCUUACCAAACUAUAUCUGACGUUGAGGCACGAAAG